This 479-nucleotide ribosomal RNA is filed under the name uncultured bacterium. RNAcentral's name for it is "partial 16S ribosomal RNA". It matches the Rfam family "Bacterial small subunit ribosomal RNA", at positions 28 to 523 of the family's 1533-position model. The record is from RNAcentral.
GACGAACGCUGGCGGCGUGCUUAACACAUGCAAGUCGAACGGUAGGCUCCAGCUUGCUGGGGUACACGAGUGGCGAACGGGUGAGUAACACGUGGGUGACCUGCCCUGCACUUCGGGAUAAGCCUGGGAAACUGGGUCUAAUACCAGAUAGGACCGCGCCGUGAGGGUGUGGUGGAAAGUUUUUUCGGUGUGGGAUGGGCCCGCGGCCUAUCAGCUUGUUGGUGGGGUAAUGGCCUACCAAGGCGGCGACGGAUAGCCGGCCUGAGAGGGUGGACGGCCACAUUGGGACUGAGACACGGCCCAGACUCCUACGGGAGGCAGCAGUGGGAAUAUUGCACAAUGGGCGGAAGCCUGAUGCAGCGACGCCGCGUGGGGGAUGACGGCCUUCGGGUUGUAAACUCCUUUCACCAUCGACGAAGGGUUUCUGACGGUAGAUGGAGAAGAAGCACCGGCUAACUACGUGCCAGCAGCCGCCGUAA